CCCCAGCGAUCCGGACCAGGCAAAAAAGUGGGUGGAAAACCUCAGGCCACCACCGCUGGACUUACCCGCCCACAAUGCAUUCGUUUGCAUAGAGCACUUUGAACCAAGUGCAGUGGGCGUGAGGAAAUUGAGGGCAAAUGCGGUGCCAACCCUCAACCUUGGCUAUGAAGAUGCACCUAGGCAUUUGUGGACGGUUCCACGGCCAAGAAGAAGAUGCUGCAUUAGCAGCGGCGUUACGAGACAGGCGACUCUUUUUGGAUUCCCUAAAAGGGAAGAUGUUCGCCAAAGUUGGGCAAAGGCUUGCAACAUAGUAGCAUCGCCUUCCGAUUCCCUGUUUAUUUGUCGAAACCACUUUGAUCCUGAGUUUGUAACUAAAUUCAGACUUCUGCCUGGGGCUUUCCCUUGUUUAAGAUUAGAGUCAGAACUAAAUCAUAGCACAUCUAGCUCUGACUCUGAUUGGGUAUGCCCGCCCGUCACUACAACUUAUGUUCGUCCUAAAGUAGCUGUAGAAGGUAGUGUAGAGGACGACAUUACUUUGAUGGAAUUUGAAAAAUAUUCCAUCCUAGAGGAAAAGAGAUUAGUAUUAGGGCAGAAAGUAACUGCGAAGGCUAUGCAUUAGACAGCCGCGAACGAUUUGCUCGAUCCGCGCGUUAUUAUCAAAGUAAUGCGCUGAAACUAAAUAAAAAGGUCAAGGAGUUAGAGGGGGUUAUUCAAGACUUGGAAAAAAAUAUGAAGAACUAAAAAAACGUGCAAUAGUUGCGGAUGAGACUUCUUGCCAAGACGCUAUAACAUUCGCUAGGAUGGUCGUCACGAAACGCAAUCACUUUUUUAGUGACAGUGAAAAGACAUUGGCACAUAACAUUAGUUAUAUGUCCACCAAAUCAUAUAAUUUCAUGCGUGACGAUUUAGGUUUCUCGUUACCGAGUAAAAGUUCCCUUUUGAGAUGGCGCCCCAUAAAAUAUGUUUUUCCUGGCUUCGAUGCCAAUGUCAUAACAAAUUUAGGCAAAAUUGCCAAAAAUAUGUCCGAUCUAGAACGUAAUUGCGUUCUUUUAUUUGAUGAAAUCAUCAUAAAGUCCGACCUAACUUACAAUAGAGUUAGAGAUAUUAUUGAUGGAUUUGUAGACUAUGGGGACGACCAUCGCGAAAUGAAAAUAGGCAAUAAGUGUUGUUUCUUUAUGGUAAAAGGGUUAAGUUCAGGUUGGAAAUAUGUGUUUUCAUACUAUAUUUCCAAUGGUGGACUUACUAAUCAAAAUUUAUCCGAAAUUUUGAAUAAAAAUAUCUGAGCACUAAAGUCCAUUGGACUUAAUGUUAAGGCUUUAGUCUGUGAUCAAGGGGCUUCAAAUUCUUCGAUUUUUAAAACGAUAAGAAUUAAUGAAGGAAAUCCCCUUUACAUGCACGAUGGUUCGAAAGUGUAUUGCUUAUAUGACUAUUGCCAUCUAAUUAAGUCCGUCCGCAAUACGUUGAUGAAAUAUGAUAUUUCAACUCCUGAUGGAAUAGUCAGUUUUAGUGUUAUGAAAAAACUAUUCUCCAUUGACCAGAGCAAUACACACUUUAAAAUAUGUCCGAAACUUACGGAGUCACAUAUUUAUACCAGCGUUUUUGAGAAAAUGUCUGUAAAACGUGCCACUCAGGUUUUUAGCAAUUCGGUCGCGGCUGGCAUCGAAAUGGCUUAUAGCCAAAAUCUAUUCGGCAGUGACGAAUAUUUAUUAAAAUGUGUAAAGCCUACGCAGUUAUUCGUCAAGAGAAUGAAUGAUCUCUUUGACGAUUUAGACUGCAAGCAAUUUAAUUCUAAAAAUCCGUUAAAAUGUCCGCUCAUAAGAAAUGAAUUCGGGAAGGUCCAACGCCUCCAUGAUCAUAUUAAGUUUUUACAAUCCAUUAAAUUACCUGUCGUGGCUCGGGUUAAAUGUAUUGAUGGCCUUUCCAAUACAAUUAGGGCUAUGUUAUUGUUAGCAGAAAAACUCUUUAGGGAACAAAAGGAAUUAAAAUAUUUAUUCCUUGGGAAAAUGAAUCAGGAUGCGUUGGAGAAUUUCUUUUAUAGAGUCUGGGCGAGUCAGGGUAUUAAUACCCAUCCGACUGCUCAUGAAAUCCAGUACAUUGUAGGUCGUCUAAUAUCUAUGAAGAUACUUAGACAAAAUUUUUAAAAUAAGGGUGCAAAUUGUGAGGAUGAUGACGAUGUCAAUUUAGAUUGGAAUUUAGGCCCCGAAGAUCGUCAUCUAGAUGUACAGGGAAACGAACAGGAAUCUGAGCAACUCGACCUGGAAUCUUUCACUAUUCCUGACGAAAAUUUUGUUGAAGAGGACGACAAAGCUGACGUCCGGAUCAAGCGGUAUUACACUGGCUAUGGUAUUUACCAAAAAAUUCUGUGUAAGAUCCAUUGCGAAAAAUGCACCAAAGCAAUGACGAAGACACAAAGCGAUUUAACGCUGUAUUCGGAGGCCCUCAUCAGAGCAAAAAAUUACAGGGAUGACAGCGAUUUAAGGCUGGUCAAUCCUAGUGAUAGGGUCUUCGAAGUGUGACGACUGCAAAUGAUGUGGUACGUCAAGCUCUUCAACGAAUAUGCUCAUCAUUCCAAUGUUCGUUGUUUAAUGUUGUCCGCUAUACAACAAAAAACCGAAAAUGUUUUUCCUCAAUGGUUUGAUCAAACCGAUGAGUGUUUCGCACACAAGCUAAAAUUAUUAGAGUAUUUAGUGACAGUACUCCUUUUCAAAAAUUCAAAGUGGUUUGUAAAAGAAGAAUUAAAUAGGGAACGACAUCGAAGCGCGAUGAAAAAAUAAAAAAAACUUAAAAGUAAGUUGCAAGCCAGAACCCUUUAGCUAGCGAACAUCUUACUUUUGGGUUUUUUCUAUUUUCAGCUUUUUUAUAUUUUCAGCUCUGUUUUUACUUUCAGGUUUUUUUUAUCUUUCCAGGGUUUUUUUCUUUUUCUAACGUUGCAGCUGAGCCUAGCUUUUUUAAAAAGUAAUAUUAAUCAAGAUGAAUUAAAUUUAAUUCAUCCCGAUUAAUAUUAUUGUUUAAAAAAGCAGGUGAAAUUAAAUGACUUAAUUUCAUUAUUAAGUCGUGUGAGAAAUUUCCAUUUUAAAUGGAACAUUUCGUAAUUCAGUU
Long non-coding RNA from Bactrocera dorsalis (oriental fruit fly), 3099 nucleotides. RefSeq lists it as uncharacterized. NCBI's taxonomy places the organism in Eukaryota, Metazoa, Arthropoda, Insecta, Diptera, Tephritidae. The transcript has 3 exons. The record is from RefSeq and is a predicted model, not a curated record.